RNAcentral lists this long non-coding RNA (11298 nucleotides) under Actinidia chinensis (golden kiwifruit). RNAcentral's name for it is "long non-coding RNA (ACHI_LNC000050)". Lineage: Eukaryota; Viridiplantae; Streptophyta; Magnoliopsida; Ericales; Actinidiaceae. The record is from RNAcentral.
UUUCAAGCUCAAGUUAUUAGGGUAUUAGUAGUUAUGGCCGUAUGUUGUACUUUGUCUUUUUCAAAUUAUGCUAAUUUGAAUUUUUGAGUAAUGAGUUGUGACUAUUUUGCAUUUAUUUUGUUUAGUGAGGACUAUUGCUAUUGACUAUCGGACUCAAGUGGGUGUACCGUGCUAAUAGCGAUGCCUAGGCCCAAGUACUCUCAAAUCCAUAUCUCCGCGCCUUUGAAUGUUGUGGUACGUAACUGUGGCUUUAAAUUUUGUAUAUUUAUCUUGGGCCUUAAUUAACCUGAACUUGAAGUUCCCCGGGUUCAAUUUCAAGCUCAAGUUAAUUAGGUAUUAUUAGACAAGGCCUUAUGUUUUAAAUACGCUUUGGCCCUUUGUCAAAAUUAGCUGAUUUGAGUUUUUUGUGUAAUAUGUAGUGACUGUUUUUGCAUUUGGUCUGUUUUGCGAGGACUUUGCUAUUGACUAUACCCGUAUUCAACUUCAAGUCGGUAUUUAGGUACUUGUUUUUGUUGUUAUUAUUUUAUGUUGUUUUUUUAUUUAUAGCAUGAUUUUAAUGUUUGAGUACGAGUGAGUGACUGCCUUUGCUUUUUUGUUUUGUCGAGGACUAAUACUGUUGACUAUCGGGUUUAAAUUUCAUCAGCUCAAGUGUAUUAGGGUAAUUAUUAGUUAUUUCCGUAUGCUUUACUUUGUCUUUUUCAAAUAUGCUAAUUUGAAUUUUUGAGUAAUGAUUUGGCUGACUAUUUUCAUUGAUUUUUUGUUUAGUGAGGACUAUUGCUAUUGACUAUCCGGACUCAAGUUGGUGUUACCGUGGUAAAGCGAUGCCUGGCCCAAUACUCUCAACCAUAUCCCACCCUUUGAAUGUUGUGGUCGUAACUGAUGGCUUAAAUUUGUUGUCAUUUAUUCUUGGGCCUUAAUUAACCCUAACGUGAAUUUCCCCGGUUCAAUUUCAAGCGUCAUGUUAAUUAGGAAUUAUUAGACAAGGCCCUUUAUUUAAACUUUGUCCUUUUUACAAGUUAUCUGAUUUGAGUUUUGUUGUGUAAUAUGUAUGACUGUUUUUGCUUUGUUUUCGUUUUCGAGGAACUAUUCUCUUGACUACCGGAUUCAACUUCAGCUCGAGUUAUUUUAGGUACUUUUUGUUAGUACUUUAUGUUGUUUUUUUAUCUACAAGCAUGAUUUUAAAAUGUUUUGAGUAACGAGUAGUGACAGCUUUUUGCAUUUUGUUUUGUUUUGGCGAGGACUAAUACUGUUGACUAUCGGUUGUUAAUUUCAAGCUCGAAGUUAUUAGGGUAUUAUUAGUUAUGGCCGUUAUGUUGACUUGUCUUUUUCAAAUAUGCUAAUUGAUUUUUGAGUAAUGAGUUUGACAUUUUGCAUUAUUUUUGUUUAGUGAGGACUAUUGCUAUGGACUAUCGGGGACUGGAAUCAAGUGGGUGUACGUACUAAAUAGCGAUGCCUAGGCCCAAGUUCUCAAAUCCAUAUCUCCGCGCCUUUGAAUGUUUGUGGUACGUAACUGUUGACUUUAAAUUUUGUAAUUACUUGGGCCGUAAGUUACACCUGAACUGGAAGUCCCGGGUUCAAUUUCAAGCUCAAGUUAAUAGUAUUAUUAGACAGGACUUUAUGUUGUACUUGUAUUUUAAAAUUAUGACUGAUUUGAGUUUUUGUCUGUAGUAAGAUGUAGUGAACGUUUUUGCAUUGUCGUUUGCGAGGACUAUGCCCUAUUGACUACCGGAUUCAACUUAAAGUGCGAGUUAUUUAGGUUAACUUUUUGUUAGUACUUUAUGUGUGUUUUUAUUUAGAGACAUGAUUUAUGUUUGAGUAACGAGUAGUGACUGCUUGCAUUUUUUUGUUUUGCGUGAGGACUAAUUCUGUUGAAUAGUCGGGGUUUAAUUCAAGUCAAGUUAUUAGGGAUUAGUAGUUAUGGCCGCAUGUGUACUUGUCUUUUUCAAAUUAUGCCUAAUUGAAUUUUUGAGAGUAAUAGUGUGACUGUAUUUUGCCUUAUUUUGUUUAGUGAGGACUAAUGCUAUUGACUAUCGGAUCAAGUGGGUUUGUACCGUGCUAAUAGCGAUGCCUAAGGCCCAAAGUACUCUCAAAUCCAUAUACUCCGCGCCUUUGAAUGUUGUGGGGAGUACGUAAUGUGCUUUAAAUUUUGUUAUAUUAUCUUUGGCCUUAAUAACCUUGAACUGGAAGUUCCCGGGUUAAUUCAAGCUCAAGUUAUUAGGUAUAUUAGACAGGCCUUAUGUUGUGUACUUGUCUUUUUAAAAUUAUGCUGAUUUGAGUUUUUGUGUAAUAUGUAGUGACUGUUUUGCAUUUGUUCUGUUUUGCGAGGACUAUUGCUAUUGACUACCGGAUUCAACUUCAAGCUCGAGUUAUUUAGGUACUUUUUGUUAGUACUUUAUGUUGUUUUUUAUUUAUAGCAUGAUUUUAAUGUUUGAGUAACGAGUAGUGACUGCUUUGCAUUUUUUUUGUUUUGCGAGGACUAAUACUGUUGACUAUCGGGUUUAAUUUCAAGCUCAAGUUAUUAGGGUAUUAGUAGUUAUGGCCGUAUGCUGUACUUUGUCUUUUCCAAUAGCUAUUUGAAUUUUUGAGUAAUGAGUUGUGACUAUUUUGCAUUAUUUUGUUUUAGUGAGGACUAUUGCCUAUUGAUAUCGACUCAAGUGGGUGUACCGUGGUAAUAGCGCUGCCUAGGACCAAGUACUCUCAAACCAUAUCUCCACGCCUUAAUGUUGUGGUACUUAACUGUGGCUUUAAAUUUUGCUAUAUUUAUCUUGGGCCUUAAUUAACCUGAAACUUGAAGUCCACGGGUUCAAUUCAAGCUCAUUUAAUUAGGUAUAGUGACACGGGCCUUAUUAUUAAAAUUUGUCUUUAAAAUUAUGCUGAUUUGAGAUUUGGUUAAUAUGUAGUGACUGUUUUGCAUUUGUUCUGUUUUGCGAGGACUAUUGCUAUUGACUACCGGAUUCAACUUCAAGCUCGAGCUAUUUAGGUACUUUUUGUUAGUACUUUAUGUUGUUUUUUAUUUAUAGCAUGAUUUUAAUGUUUGAGUAACGUGUAGUGACUGCUUUGCAUUUUUUGUUUUGUUUUGCGAGGACUAAUACUGUUGACUAUCGGGUUUAAUUUCAAGCUCAAGUUAUUAGGGUAUUAGUAGUUAUGGCCGUAUGUGUACUUUGUCUUUUUCAAAUUACAGCUAUGUUGAAUUUGUGAGUACUGAGUUGCUGACUAUUUGCAUUGAUUUUGUUAUUUGAGGACUAUUGCUAUGACUAUCGGACCUCAAGUGGGUGUGUACCGUGCUAAUAGCGAUGCCUAGGCCAAAGUACUUCUCAAACCCAUAUCUCAAAGGCAUUUGAAUGUUGUUUUUACGAAACUGUGGCUUAAUUUUGUAUAUUUAUCUUGGGCCUUAAUUAACCUGAACUUGAAGUUUCCCGGGUUCAAUUUCAAGCUCAAGUUAAUUAGGAAUUAUUAGACAAGGCCUUAUGUUAAACUUUGUCUUUUUAAAAUUAUGCUGAUUUGAGUUUUUGUGUAAGAUGUAGUGACUGUUUUGCAUUUGUUCUGUUUUACGAGGACUAUUGCUAUUGACUACCGGAUUCAACUUAAAGUUCGAGUUAUUUAGGUACUUUUUGUUAGACUUGAUGUUGGUUUUAUUUACAGAAUGAUUUUAAUGUUGAGUAACGAGUAGUGAUGUUGCAUUUUUUUUUUUUGUUUUGCGAGGACUAGUUCUGUUGACUAUCGGGUUUAAUUCAAGCUCAAGUUUUAGGGUAUUAGUAGUUAUGGCCGUAUUAGGUUGUACUUUGUCCUUUUUCAAAUUACGCUAAUUUGGGAAUUUUGAGUAUGAGUUGUGACUAUUUUGCAGUUAUUUUGUUAGUGAGGACUAUUGCUAUGAACUAUCGGACUCAAGGGUGCUUGUACCGUGCUAAUAGCGAUGCCUGGGCCCAAGUAUUCGCAAAUCAAUAUUCUCCGCGCCUUUGAAUGUUUGUGGACGUAAAUGUUGCUUUAAAUUUUGGAUAUUUAUCUGGUCCUAAUUAACCUGAACUUGAAGUUCCCGGGUUGUUCAAUUUCAAGCUCAAGUUAUUAGGUAUUAUUAGACAGGCCUUAUGUUGUACUUUGUCGGUUUUAAAAAUUAUGCUGAUUUGAGUUUUUGUGUAAUAUGUAUGUGUGACGGGUUUGAUUUUGUCUGUUUUGCGAGACUAUGCUAGACUACCGGAUUCAACUAAAGCUCGCGAUUUAGGUACUUUUUGUUAGUACUUUAUGUGUUUUUUAUUUAUUGCAAUGAUUUUAAUGUUUGAGUAACGAGUUAGUAGUGACUGCGUUUGCAUUUUUUUUGUUUUGCGGAGGAGGACUUAAUAAUGUUGACUAUCGGGUUUAAUUUCAAGCCUCAAGUUAUUAGGGUAUAGUAGUUAUGGUCCGUAUUGCUGUACUUGUCUUUUUAAAAUUAUGGCUAAUUUGAAUUUUGAGUAAUAGUAAUGAGUUGUGGACGAUUUUGCAUUAUUUUGUUUAGUGAGGACUAUUGCUAUUGACUAUCGGACUCUCAAGUCGGGGUGUACCGUGGUAAUAGCGAUGCCUAGCCCAAGUACUCUCAAACAUAUCUCCACGCCUUUGAAUGUUGUCGGUACUUAACUGUGGCUUAAAUUUUGUAUAUUUAUCUUGGUAGCUUAAUUAACUGAACUUGAAGUUCCCGGGUUCACUUUCAAGAUCAUGUAAUUGAGGUAUUAUUAGACAAGGCCUAUAUAAACUUUGUCUUUUUAAAAUUAUGCUUGAUUUGAGUGUUUGGGUAAUAGCGUGACGUUUUGCAUUUGUUCUGUUUUGGCGGACUAUUGCACUAUUGACUACCGGAUUCAACUUCAAGCUCGAGCUAUUAGGUACUUUUUGUUAGUACUUAGUGAUUUUUAUUUAUAGAAUUGAUUUUAAUGUUUGAGUAACGAGUAGUGAUUGACUUUGCAUUUUUUUUGUUUUGCGAGCGGACUAAUUCUUGUUGACUAUCGGGUUUUUAAUUUCAAGCUCAAGUUAUUAGGGUUAUUAGUGUUAUGGCCGUAUGUUGUACUUUUGUCGUUUUCCAAUUAUGCUAAUUUGAAUUUUAAAGUAAUGAGUUUGUGACUCUUUUGCAUUUUUUUUGCUUAGUGAGGACUAUUGCUAGUGACUACGACUCCAGCAGUGGGUGUCCGUGCUAAUAGCGAUGCCUAGGCCCAAGUAACUCUCAAAUCCUAUCUCCACGCCUUUCAUUGUUGUGUGUACCAAACUGUGGCUUUAAAAAAUUUGUAUAUUUAUCUUGGGCCUUAAUUAACCUGAACUUGAAGUUUCCCGGGGUUCAAUUUCCAGCUCAAGUUAAUUAGGAAUUAUUAGACAAGGCCUUAUGUUGUCCUUUGUCUUUUUAAAUUACGCUGAUGUUUGUAGUUCUUUUUUCUGUGCCUUCUAAUCUGGACUUUAGUGUCAUCCCUCCUUGUGUUUGCUUGCAUUUGUUUCUUUUGUUUUGCAGGACUAUUGCUACUUCCCUUUAGAUCUUGCUUACCUUUCCCUAGCGUGCCUUUGCCAUCUUUAUGACCUUUUUCGUUCUCGCUAACCGUAUUUUUCCUUCUCAACUUCUAUACGGCAUCUCUCCUCCUUUUACCUUUCCUCCGAUGUUUUUUUUAGCGUACCCUUCCUCUUUUUUGUUCGGUACGCACCACUGACACUUCUUCUCUCGUGUGUGUUUAUUUCUUUUCGCUUUUUCGUUUUAUUACCUGUCGCUAGAUUUUUUGUUUGAGUACGAGUAGUGACUGCUUUGAGUGACUGACUGCUUUGCAUUUUUUUUUGUUUUGCGAGGCCUAAUCUGUUGACUAUCGGGUUUUAAUUUUCAAGCUCAGUUAUUAGGGUUUAGUAGUUAGGCCGCAUGUUGUACUUUGUCUUUUUCCAAAUUAUGCUAAUUUGAAUUUUUUGAUUAAUGAGUUGCGACUAUUUUUGCAUUUAUUUUGUUUGGGGGGGGGGUGAGGACUAUUGCUAUUGACUAUCGGGGACUGAGUGGGUUUACCGUGCUAAUAGCGAUGCCUAUGCCCAGUACUCUCAAAUCCAUAUUCUCCGCUCCUUUGAAUGUUGUGGUACUUAACUGUGGCGUUAAAUUUUGUCUAUUUAUCUUAGAGGCCUUAUUUAACCUUAACUUGAAGUUCCCCGGGUUUCAAUUUCAAGCUCAAGUUAAUUAGGUAUUAUUAGACAGGCCUUAUGUUGUCUUUUGUCGUUUUAAAUUAUGCUGAUUUUGAGUUUUUUGUGUAAUAUGUAUGACUGACUGUUUUGCAUUUGUUCUGUUUUGCGAGGACUAUUGCUUUGACUACCGCGGAUUCAACUGCAAGCUCGAGUUAUUUAUGUGUUAUUUUUUGUUAGUACUUUAUGUUUGUUUUUUAUUUUAAGCAUAUUUUAAUUAUGAAUACGGUAGUGACUGCUUUGCAUUUUUUUUGUUUUGCGAGGACUAAUACUGUUGACUAUCGGGUUUAAUUUCAAGCUCAAGUUAUUAGGGUAUUAGUAGUUAUGGCCGUAUGCUGUACUUUGUCUUUUUCAAAUUAUGCUAAUUUGAAUUUUUGAGUAAUGAGUUGUGACUAUUUUGCAUUUAUUUUGUUUAGUGAGGACUAUUGCUAUUGACUAUCGGACUCAAGUGGGUGUACCGUGGUAAUAGCGAUGCCUAGGCCCAAGUACUCUCAAAUCCAUAAUCCCACCUUUGAAUUUUGUGGUAACGUACUGUGGCCUUUAAAUUUUGUAUCUUUAUCAUCUUGGGCCUUAAUUAACCUGAACUUGAGUUCCCCGGGUUCAAUUUUCAAGCUCCAUGUUAAUUAGGUAUUAUUAUACAAGGCCUUAUAUUAAACUUUGUCUUUUAAAUUAGCUGAUUUGAGUUUUGUGUGUAUUGUAGUGACAGUUUGCAUUUGUUCUUUUUUGCGAGGACAAUUGCUCUUGACUACCGAUCAACUUCAACUCGAGUUAAUUUAGGAGGUACUUUUUGUUUAGUACUUUAUGGUGUUUUUUAUCUAACAGCAUGAUUUUAUGUUUGAGUAACGAGUUAGUUACAGCUUUGCUUUUUUUUUGUUUGCGAGGACUAAUACGGUUGACUAUCGGGUUUAUUGCAAGCUCCAGUUAUUAGGGUAUAGUAGUUGUGGCCGUAUGUUGUACUUUAUCUUUCAAAUUAUGGCUAAUUUGAAUUUUUUUGAGUAAUGAGUUGUGACUUUUUUUGCAUUUAUUUUGUUUAGUGAGGACUAUUGCUGUUGACUCUCGGACUCAAGUUUCAAGCUACGAGUUCUUUAGAGUACUUUUUCCCUUAGUACUUUAUUGUUAACAUUUUAUUUAUAACAUGAUUUUAAUGUUUGAGUAACGAUUUGUGGACUGCUUUGCAUUUUUUUGUUUUGGCGAGAGUAAUACUGUUGACUAGCGGGUUUAAUUUCAAUCUCAAGUUUUAGUGUAUUAGUAGUAUGGCAGUAUUUGUACUUUGUCUUUUCAUUAUGCUAAUUUGAAUUUUUUUUGAUUAAUGAUUUUGUGACUAUUUUGCAUUUAUUUUGUUUAGUGAUGCUAUUGGCUAUUGACUAUCGGACUCAAGUGGUGGUACCGUGCUAUAUCGAUGCUAGGCCCAAGUAUCUCUCAAUCCUAUCUCCGCUCCUUUGAAUUUGUGGUACUAACUGUUGCUUUAAAUUUUUGUUAUUUAUCUUGGUGCCUUAAUUAACCUGAACUUUGAAGUUCCCCCCUCCCCCCCGGGUUCAAUUUCAAGCUCAUUUAAUUAGGUAUUAUUAACAAGCCUUAUGUUUUUACUUGUCUUUUAAAAUUAUGCGGAUUUGAGUUUUUGUGUAAUAUGUUAGUACUUUUUGCAUUUGUUCCUUGUUUUGGCGAGGAUAUUGCUUUGACUACCCUACCCGGAUUCACUUCACAAAGCUCCUAUUGUAUUUAUGUACUGUUUGUUAGUACUGAGAAUGGGGGGGGGGGAGGGGGGGUGGGGGGGGGGGGGUAGUCAAGAACAGAAAAUGGGGGGUGCUGUCGAUCUUUUUUUUUUUCUGGUUCUCAACAGGAAAAAAGUCAUGAUUUUAAUGUUGGAAGUAACUAGUAGUGACUGCUUAUGCAUUUUUUUUGUUUUUGCGAGGACUAUACUUGACUAUCGGGUUUUAUUUUUUAUUUCAGCUCAAUUUAGGGUAUUAGUAUUAAAUGCCGUAUGCUGUACUUUUGUCUUUUCAAUUAUGCUAAUUUGAUUCUUGAGUAUGAGUUUUGUGCUAGUUUUGCAUUUAGUUUGUUUUCGUGAGGACUAUUUCUAUUGACUAUCGGACUCAAGUGGGUGUAACCGUGCGAUAGCCUAUGCCUAGGCCCAAUUAACUCCCCCCUCAAUCCAUAUCUCUUCGCCUUUGAAUGUUUUGGUCGUAACGUGGCUUUUAAUUUUGUAUUUUAUCUUGGGCCUUAAAUUAACUGACCUUGAAGUUCCCCGGGUUCAAAUUUCAAGCUCAAUUUAUUAGUAUUAUUAGACAAGGCCUUAUGUUGUACUUUGUCCUUUUUAAAAUUAUGGCUGAUUUGAGUUUUUUGUGUAAUAUGUAGUGACUGUUUUGCAUUUUUUCUGUUUUGCGAGGACUAUGCUAUUUGACUAUCGGAUUCCACCUUCAAAAGCUCCGAGUUCUUUAGGUACUUUUUUGUUAGUACUUUUAUGUGUUGUUUAUUUAUCUCAUGUUUUCAUGUUUUGCUUCCCUCGUAGUGACUUUCUUGCAUUUUUUUGUUUUGCGAGGACUAAUACUGUUGACUUCGGGUUAAUUUCAAGCUCAAGGUUAUUUAAGUUAUUAGUGUUCUUGGCCGUAUGUUGUACUUUGGUCAUUUUCAAUUAUGCUAAUUUGAAUUUUUGAGAAUGAGUUGUUACUAUUUUGCAUUUAUUUUGUUUAGUGAGGACUAUUGCUAUUGACUAUCGGACUCAAGUGGGUGUACCGUGCUAAUAGCGAUGCCUAGGCCCAAGUACUCUCAAAUCCAUAUCUCCGCGCCUUUGAAUGUUGUGGUACGUAACUGUGGCUUUAAAUUUUGUAUAUUUAUCUUGGGCCUUAAUUAACCUGAACUUGAAGUUCCCCGGGUUCAAUUUCAAGCUCAUGUUAAUUAGGUAUUAUUAGACAAGGCCUUAUAUUAAACUUUGUCUUUUUAAAAAUUAUGCGAUUGAGUUUGUGUAAUAGUAUAUUGACUGUUUUACAUUCUUCUGUUUUGCGAGGACUAUUAGCUCUUGACUACCUACCCCGAAUCACUUCAAGCUCGAGUUAAUUUAAGUUAGCUUUUUGUUAGUACUUAUGUUGUUUUUUUAUCUACGCAUGAUUUUAAUGUUUGAGUAACGAGUAGUGCACUUGCAUUUUUUUUUUUUUGUUUUGCGAGGACUAAUACUUUUUGACUAUCGGGUUUAAUUCAAGCUCAAGUUCUUAGGGUAUUAGUAGUUAAUGGCCGUAUUUGUACUUUACUUUUUCAAAUUAAUGCUAAUUGAAUUUUUGAGUAAAUGAGUUGUGACUAUUUGCAUUUAUUUUGUUUAUGAGGACUAUUCCUAUUGGACUAUCUGACUUCAAUUCAAGCUCUAGUUAUUUAUGUACUUUUUUCUUAGUACUUUAUGUUGUUUUUUUAUUUAUAAGCAUGAUUUUAAUGUUUGAGUAACGAGUUUGGACUGCUUUGGCAUUUUUUUGUUUUGGAGAGUCAUACUGUUUCCUAUCGCGUUUAAUUUUCCAGCUCAAGUAUUAGGGUAUUAGUAGUUAUGGCCGUAUGUUGUACUUGUCUUUUUUCAAAUUAGCUAAUUGGAAUUUUUUGAGUAAUGAUUGUGACUAUUUUUGCAUUUAUUUUGUUUAGUGAGGACUAUUGCCUAUGACUAUCGACUCAAGUGGGUGUACCGUGCUAAAUAGCGUGCCUAGGGCCCAAGUACUCUCAAUCCAUAUCUCCCGCCUUUGAAUGUUGUGGUAACUACUGUGGCUUUAUUUUGUAUAUUUAUCUUGGCCUUAAUACCUGACUUAAGUUCCCGCGUUUCAAUUUCAAUCGUCAUGUUAUUGGUUUAUUAUAGAUCAGGCCUUAUGGUUGUACUUUGUCUUUUUAAAAUUAUGCUGAUGUGAGUUUUUGUGAUAAUAUGUAUGACUUGUGUGCAUGUUCUGUUUUGGCGAGACUAUUGCUAUUUGACUACCGGAUUCAACUUCAAGCUGAGUAUUUAUGUACUUUUUGUUAGUACUUUAUGUUUGUUUUUUUUAUAGCAUGAUUUUAAUGUUUGAGUAACGAGUAGUGACUGCUUUGCAUUUUUUUUGUUUUGCGAGGACUAAUCGUUGACAUAUCGGGUUUAAUUUCAAAUCUCAAGUUAUUGGGUAUUAGUAGUUAUGGCCGUAUGUUGUACUUUGUCUUUUUCAAAUUAUGCUAAUUUGAAUUUUUGAGUAAUGAGUUGUGACUAUUUUGCAUUUAUUUUGUUUAGUGAGGACUAUUGCUAUUGACUAUCCGGACUCAAGUGGGUGUACGUUCUAAUAAAAUAUCGAUGCCUAGCCCAAGUACUCUCAAAUCCAUAGCUCCGCGCCUUUGAUGUUGUGGUACGUAACUGUGAGCUUUAAUUUAUGUAUAUUUAUCUUGGGCCUUAAUUAAACCUGAACCUUGAAGUUCCCCCCGGGUUCAAUUUCAACUCAAGUUAUUAGUAUUAUUAGCAAGGCCUUAUGUUGUACUUUGUCUUUUUAAAAUUAUGCUGAUUUGAGUUUUGUUAAUAUGUGUGACUUUUUUGCAUUUGUUUCUGUUUUGCGAGACAUGGCUAUUGACUACCGGAUUCAACUUAAAGUUCGAGUUUAUUUGUCAUUUUUGUUAGUACUUUAUGUUGUUUUUUAUUAUAGCAUAUUUUAAUGUUUGAAAGUAACGAGUAGUUACUGCUUUGGUCAUUUUUUUUUGUUUUUGGCGAGGACUAAUACUGUCUGACUAAUCGGGUUUAAUUUCAAGGCUCAAGUUAUUAGGGUAUUAGUAGUUAGGCCGUAUGUUGUACUUUGUCCUUUCAAAUUAUGCUAAUUUGAAUUUUUGUGUAAUGAGUUGUGCGAUUUUUUGCAUUUUAUUUUGUUUAGUGAGACUAUUCUAUUGACUACGGACGCAAGUGGGUGACCUGCUAAUAGCGAUUCCUAGGCCCAAGUACGCAUCAAAUCCAUAUCCUCCGCGCCUUUGAAUGUUGUGGUCACGUAACUGUGGCUUUUAAAUUUUGUAUAUUUAAUCUUGGGCCCUAUUAACCUGAACUUGAAGGUUCCCCGGUUCAAUUUCAAGCUCAAGUUAAUUAGGUAUUAUUAGACAAGGCCUUAUGUUUUACUUUGUCUUUUUAAAAUUAUGCUGAUUUGAGUUUUGUGUAAUAUGUAGUGA